This 498-nucleotide ribosomal RNA is filed under the name uncultured bacterium. RNAcentral's name for it is "partial 16S ribosomal RNA". It matches the Rfam family "Bacterial small subunit ribosomal RNA", at positions 28 to 508 of the family's 1533-position model. The record is from RNAcentral.
GAUGAACGCUGGCGGCGUGCCUAAUACAUGCAAGUCGAGCGAACGGACGAGAAGCUUGCUUUUCUGAUGUUAGCGGCGGACGGGUGAGUAACACGUGGAUAACCUACCUAUAAUACUGGGAUAACUUCGGGAAACCGGAGCUAAUACCGGAUAAUAUUUUGAACCGCAUGGUUCAAAAGUGAAAGACGGUCUUGCUGUCACUUAUAGAUGGAUCCGCGCUGCAUUAGCUAGUUGGUAAGGUAACGGCUUACCAAGGCAACGAUGCAUAGCCGACCUGAGAGGGUGAGCGGCCACACUGGAACUGAGACACGGUCCAGACUCCUACGGGAGGCAGCAGUAGGGAAUCUUUCGCAAUGGGCGAAAGCCUGACGGAGAAACGCCGAGUGAGUGAUGAAGGUCGUCGGAUCGUAAAACUCGGUUAUUAGGGAAGAACAUAUGUGUAAGUAACUGGGCACAUCUUGACGGUAACUAAUCAGAAAGCCACGGCUAACUACGUGC